This is a long non-coding RNA of Pectinophora gossypiella (pink bollworm), 401 nucleotides long. RefSeq lists it as uncharacterized. Lineage: Eukaryota; Metazoa; Arthropoda; Insecta; Lepidoptera; Gelechiidae. The record is from RefSeq and is a predicted model, not a curated record. The transcript is spliced from 3 exons.
AGAUAAAAAUGGCAUGGACAUGAUACGGUGUCAGAUGCUGAUCGACUUUGUCAUAAUUAACUCAUACUAAGCAACAACAACAAUAACAACUGCUGAAGAAUGUUCCAGUCUGAGAGUUGGACACAAUUGUAUCUGUAUAAGUUGUGAAAUAUCUUUGGGAAGGCACUCAGGAAGACAAAAUUACAGGCCAGAGACUUAUGGAAAGAAUUGAAAGUGAUAUUAUAUGUAUAGAAAAAGAAAUGUCUCCGAGACAGAUUUCUGUUGGAUGCUCGUGCAUGUCUUGUUUGCAGGAUGAACUCACCUCAAAAGCAUUAAUCUUUCGAACGCCGGAACGCGGAUCUCGACCAGACACAAUGUAAAAUCUAUUGUGUCUGGUAUCUCGGCAUAUGAGAGGUUAAUAU